AGCACCCCCGCCGCAGUAAUUCCAGCUCCAAUAGCGUAUAUUAAAGUUGUUGCAGUUAAAAAGCUCGUAGUUGAAUUUCGGAAUCAGUACGCCAGUCAUGCUUCGGUAUGUACUAGUGUCACUGAUUCCUUCCUUCUGACGAACCGUCAUGCCAUUAAUUUAGUGUGAUGUGGAAUCAGGACUGUUACUUUGAAAAAAUUAGAGUGUUUAAAGAAGGCUCGCGCUUGAAUACAUUAGCAUGGAAUAAUGAAAUAGGACGUUUGAUCUUAUUUUGUUGGUUUCUAGGAUCGAUGUAAUGAUUAAUAGGAUAGUUGGG
Molecule: ribosomal RNA, 316 nt
Filed under: uncultured Glomus
Lineage: Eukaryota; Fungi; Glomeromycota; Glomeromycetes; Glomerales; Glomeraceae
Description: bacterial SSU rRNA
Rfam family: Eukaryotic small subunit ribosomal RNA
Source: RNAcentral